UAGCUCUCGAAAACCUCUCGUAACUCACUUUUGAUCAUUUCAACACCUUCGGACUUUCCGAAGUGUACCGUCCUCGCACUUUGGUCAAUUUGACUAAAGUUCAAUAUUUAUUUUCCGAAUUUUCGGUAUAUUACAAUUAGCCAUCCUGAUCUCUCGUGAGCCCUAAUUUGAUCAAAUUUCAAAUUAACUAAUUCAAAAUUUCAAAAUUCAAUUUAUUAAAUUUU
RNAcentral lists this long non-coding RNA (224 nucleotides) under Ananas comosus (pineapple). RNAcentral's name for it is "long non-coding RNA (ACOM_LNC016608)". Lineage: Eukaryota; Viridiplantae; Streptophyta; Magnoliopsida; Poales; Bromeliaceae. The record is from RNAcentral.